Molecule: ribosomal RNA, 405 nt
Filed under: uncultured bacterium
Lineage: Bacteria
Description: partial 16S ribosomal RNA
Rfam family: Bacterial small subunit ribosomal RNA
Source: RNAcentral
AUUGAACGCUAGCGGCAUGCUUUACACAUGCAAGUCGAACGAGUGGCGGAAGGGUGUGCUAUAUAUCGGAAUGUGCGCAGUAGAGGGGGAUAACUACUCGAAAGUGGGCUUCUACCGUACACUUUUGGACCGGCCGUUAUCGGAUUAGCGAGUGGGUGGGGUAAAGGCUCACCAAGGCAACGAUCCGUAGCUGGUUUGAGAGGAAGACCAGCCACACUGGGACUGGGACACGGCCCAGACUCCUACGAGAGGCAGCAGUGGGGAAUUUUGGACAAUGGGGGAAACCCUGAUCCAGCCAGCCCGCGUGUAUGAUGAAGGCCUUAGGGUUGUAAAGUACUUUUGGUAGAGAAGCGGUAUCUGCAGAAUAAGCACCGGCUAACUACGUGCCAGCAGCCGCGGUAAUUC